Molecule: non-coding RNA, 592 nt
Organism: Danio rerio (zebrafish)
Lineage: Eukaryota; Metazoa; Chordata; Actinopteri; Cypriniformes; Danionidae
Source: RefSeq, a predicted model, not a curated record
UAGAGGUCAGAGGAGUGAGGUUUACCUGCACAGAUUUGAUGGCUGUAGUCUUGAUGAAACAUGCUGUGAAACGGUGUCUUCAGCUUUACAAUCGUCCAACUCUCAUCUGACGGCACUGGAUCUGAGCAACAAUGACCUGCGGGAUUCAGGAGUGAAUUCAAUCUCUGUUGGACUGAAGAGUUCAAACUGUCGACUGAACUUACUUAGAUUGGCAGGUUGUAGAUUGACUUUUGAGUGCUGUGAAAGCUUGUCCUCAGCUCUGCAAUCCUUAAACUCUCAUUUGAGAGAGCUGGACCUGAGUAACAAUGACCUGCAGGAUUCAGGAGUGAAGCUUCUUUCUACCGGACUGAAGAGUUCGCACUGUCAUUUGGAAAUACUGAGAUUAGUCACGUGUAAUCUCACUGGUGAGUGCUGUGAAAGUAUAUCUUCAGUUCUUCAAUCAAACACUCACCUACGAAAGCUGGACCUGAGUAACAAUGACCUGCAGGAUUCAGGAGUGAAGCUGCUUUCUAUUGGACUGAAGAGUUCACACUGUCAACUCAACUUACUGAAAUUGUCUGGCUGUAUGGUGACAGAGGAAGGCUGUGGUUUU